GGCUGCCAAAGCCUCCCCCGCAGGGCGGAGAGCGGCGCGAAGCCGGGGCGCUGACUGGAAACGGGGGCGGCUCCAGCGCCCGCCAAGGGCCAGCCCGCAGGAGGCAGCGCAGCGCGAGCAGGCGAAGGCCCUGCCGUGGGGCAGGUUCCGACCCCGCGUUUCUGGCGCCCGCCCGUUGGUUUUCGGAGGAUAAAUGAUGAACAGAACGAGCAUGCCCUUGGGUUUGACCAGAAUGCUGUUAAGAGAAAAGGAGAAAAGCUUUCUGGAAAGAAGGUGACGAACUGCUGGGGAGCAUCCUAAAGCAGUGAUCUUCCGGUGCAAGCCUGCACAUUUCCAGUACCGAUGCAAAUCACAUGUCUGAACUGCUUCACUCAGCCAUGUAGUACAAGCACCGAGACUGUAGCUUAAUGGUCCAUGGAUACAAGCUAGAUGAAGACGGAAGUCACCAUAAAGGGCAGUAUCACAGAUCAUCUGCUCUAACUGGAAAAAAACCCCAACAUACUCUCUGUCAGGCACGGUGAAGUUUGUAUGCCUCCUUCUAUGCCCCUUUUUUCAGUUUUAUCAGUUUGCCUCUGAAAACUCACUAACUUCCCCUGGCCACAGUUACGCUUGUUGCUUAAUUGCUACUCAUGAUGAAACCAGACUGUGGAGACCAUAGUGGAUUCAUUACCUCUCUAGGUUAAAACUUACUCCUGUGAAGUUUUCGGGACUGGGCAGGGCUAAGUAACACUGGUGGCAACUCAUCUAUGACACCAUUCAAGCAACCUUGGCUGCUGUAGUACAUUAAACAUCCAUUAAACUGAGCCAACUUCUUACAAUAUUGCCGUCUUGCAGGAACAAAUCUGAAGAAUUAGAAAAAAAUA
Non-coding RNA from Phalacrocorax carbo (great cormorant), 863 nucleotides. NCBI's taxonomy places the organism in Eukaryota, Metazoa, Chordata, Aves, Suliformes, Phalacrocoracidae. The record is from RefSeq and is a predicted model, not a curated record.